CCUACGGGUGGCAGCAGUGAGGAAUAUUGGUCAAUGGACGAGAGCCUGAACCAGCCAAGUCGCGUGAAGGAUUACUGCCCUAUGGGUUGUAAACUUCUUUUAUAAAGGAAUAAAACUCGGCACGCGUGCCUAUUUGCAUGUACUUUAUGAAAAAGGAUCGGCUAAAUCCGUUCCAGCCACCGCGGUAAUACGGAGGAUCCGAGCGUUAUCCGGAUUUAUUGGGUUUAAAGGGAGCGUAGAUGGGUUGUUAAGUCAGUUGUGAAAGUUUGCGGCUCAACCGUAAAAUUGCAAUUGAUACUGGCAGUCUUGAGUACAGUAGAGGUAGGCGGAAUGCGUGGUGUAGCGGUGAAAUGCAUAGAUAUCACGAAGAACCCCGAUUGCGAAGGCAGCUUACUAAACUGUGACUGACAUUGAUGCUCGAAAGUGUGGGUAUCAAACAGGAUUAGAUACCCUUGUAGUC
RNAcentral lists this ribosomal RNA (460 nucleotides) under uncultured bacterium. RNAcentral's name for it is "partial 16S ribosomal RNA". It matches the Rfam family "Bacterial small subunit ribosomal RNA", at positions 338 to 795 of the family's 1533-position model. The record is from RNAcentral.